UACAGAGGUCUCAAGCGUUGUUCGGAUUCAUUGGGCGUAAAGGGUGCGUAGGCGGCGCGGUAAGUCGGGUGUGAAAGUCUCGGAGCUUAACUCCGAACUGCAUUCGAUACUGCCGUGCUUGAGGACUGGAGAGGAGACUGGAAUUUACGGUGUAGCGGUGAAAUGCGUAGAUAUCGUAAGGAAGACCAGUGGCGAAGGCGGGUCUCUGG
RNAcentral lists this ribosomal RNA (209 nucleotides) under uncultured bacterium. RNAcentral's name for it is "partial 16S ribosomal RNA". It matches the Rfam family "Bacterial small subunit ribosomal RNA", at positions 524 to 732 of the family's 1533-position model. The record is from RNAcentral.